Molecule: small nuclear RNA, 106 nt
Filed under: Dasypus novemcinctus (nine-banded armadillo)
Lineage: Eukaryota; Metazoa; Chordata; Mammalia; Cingulata; Dasypodidae
Source: RNAcentral
GUGCGCACUUCGGCGGCACAUGUCCUAAAAUUGGAACGAUACAGAGAAGAUGAGUGCAGCCCCUGCACGAGAUGACAAGCAAAUUCGUGAAGCGUUCCAUAUUUUU